GAUGCCAGGAUCGAAAAGUCUGCAUCCACGUGAGCUUGCUCAUAGGUGGAUGCAAGACCUUGAGAUCCGCCCUGACAUGAGCAUAAAAGUGGGAUGGAAAUCCCACGAUAUGCGAAUGACAGGUAGAAUUGUGAAAGUGCGAAGCACGAAGCAAUUCGUAGGCAUC
This 166-nucleotide small RNA is filed under the name human gut metagenome. RNAcentral's name for it is "Clostridiales-1 RNA". It matches the Rfam family "Clostridiales-1 RNA". The record is from RNAcentral.